RNAcentral lists this ribosomal RNA (253 nucleotides) under uncultured bacterium. RNAcentral's name for it is "partial 16S ribosomal RNA". It matches the Rfam family "Bacterial small subunit ribosomal RNA", at positions 524 to 776 of the family's 1533-position model. The record is from RNAcentral.
UACGGGGGGGGCAAGCGUUGUUCGGAAUUACUGGGCUUAAAGGGUGCGUAGGCGGCCAUGUAAGUGAGGUGUGAAAUCCCUCGGCUCAACCGAGGAACUGCGCUUCAUACUGCAUGGCUUGAGGGAGACAGGGGUAAGCGGAACUGAUGGUGGAGCGGUGAAAUGCGUUGAUAUCAUCAGGAACACCGGUGGCGAAAGCGGCUUACUGGGUCUCUUCUGACGCUGAGGUACGAAAGCUAGGGUAGCGAACGGG